AAAACGGAGAGUUUGAUCCUGGCUCAGGAUGAACGCUGGCGGUAUGCUUAACACAUGCAAGUCGAACGGUCUUUUCGGAGAUAGUGGCGGACGGGUGAGUAACGCGUGAGAAUCUAGCUUUAGGUCGGGGACAACCACGGGAAACUGUGGCUAAUACCGGAUAUGCCGAGAGGUGAAAGGCUAGCUGCCUGAAGAUGAGCUCGCGUCUGAU
RNAcentral lists this ribosomal RNA (211 nucleotides) under Nodularia spumigena CENA596. RNAcentral describes it as "partial 16S ribosomal RNA". It matches the Rfam family "Bacterial small subunit ribosomal RNA", at positions 1 to 241 of the family's 1533-position model. The record is from RNAcentral. Lineage: Bacteria; Bacillati; Cyanobacteriota; Cyanophyceae; Nostocales; Nodulariaceae.